AUUGAACGCUGGCGGCAUGCUUUACACAUGCAAGUCGAACGGUAACAGGCCUUCGGGUGCUGACGAGUGGCGAACAGGUGAGUAAUGCAUCGGAACGUACCCAGAGGUGGGGGAUAACGCAGCGAAAGCUGUGCUAAUACCGCAUGUGAUCUGAGGAUGAAAGCGGGGGACCGCGCAGCAAUGUUUGGCCUCGCGCCUUUGGAGCGGCCGAUGUCGGAUUAGCUAGUUGGUGGGGUAAAGGCCUACCAAGGCGACGAUCCGUAGCUGGUCUGAGAGGACGACCAGCCACACUGGGACUGAGACACGGCCCAGACUCCUACGGGAGGCAGCAGUGGGGAAUUUUGGACAAUGGGCGCAAGCCUGAUCCAGCAAUGCCGCGUGCGGGAAGAAGGCCUUCGGGUUGUAAACCGCUUUUGGCAGGAACGAAACGGUGUCCGCUAAUACCGGGCGCUAAUGACGGUACCUGCAGAAUAAGCACCGGCUAACUACGU
This 491-nucleotide ribosomal RNA is filed under the name uncultured bacterium. Its description in RNAcentral is "partial 16S ribosomal RNA". It matches the Rfam family "Bacterial small subunit ribosomal RNA", at positions 30 to 506 of the family's 1533-position model. The record is from RNAcentral.